This 301-nucleotide ribosomal RNA is filed under the name uncultured bacterium. Its description in RNAcentral is "partial 16S ribosomal RNA". It matches the Rfam family "Bacterial small subunit ribosomal RNA", at positions 509 to 807 of the family's 1533-position model. The record is from RNAcentral.
CAGUCGCCGCGGUAAUACGGAGGGUGCAAGCGUUAGUCGGAAUUACUGGGCGUAAAGCGUGCGUAGGCGGUUCGUUAAGUCUGUUGUGAAAGCCCCGGGCUCAACCUGGGAAUGGCAAUGGAUACUGGCGAGCUAGAGUGUGUCAGAGGAUGGUGGAAUUCCCGGUGUAGCGGUGAAAUGCGUAGAGAUCGGGAGGAACAUCAGUGGCGAAGGCGGCCAUCUGGGACAACACUGACGCUGAGGCACGAAAGCGUGGGGAGCAAACAGGAUUAGAUACCCCGGUUGUCCCUGUCUCUUAUAC